Molecule: ribosomal RNA, 492 nt
Filed under: uncultured bacterium
Lineage: Bacteria
Description: partial 16S ribosomal RNA
Rfam family: Bacterial small subunit ribosomal RNA
Source: RNAcentral
AGUGAACGCUGGCGGUAGGCCUAACACAUGCAAGUCGAACGGCAGCACAGUAAGAGCUUGCUCUUACGGGUGGCGAGUGGCGGACGGGUGAGGAAUACAUCGGAAGCUACUUUUUCGUGGGGGAUAACGUAGGGAAACUUACGCUAAUACCGCAUACGACCUACGGGUGAAAGCAGGGGAUCUUCGGACCUUGCGCGAUUGAAUGAGCCGAUGUCGGAUUAGCUAGUUGGCGGGGUAAAGGCCCACCAAGGCGACGAUCCGUAGCUGGUCUGAGAGGAUGAUCAGCCACACUGGAACUGAGACACGGUCCAGACUCCUACGGGAGGCAGCAGUGGGGAAUAUUGGACAAUGGGCGCAAGCCUGAUCCAGCCAUCCCGCGUGGGUGAAGAAGGCCUUCGGGUUGUAAAGCCCUUUUGUUGGGAAAGAAGAGCAGCAGGUUAAUACCCCGCUGUUCUGACGGUACCCAAAGAAUAAGCACCGGCUAACUUCGUG